Small nucleolar RNA from Lepisosteus oculatus (spotted gar), 139 nucleotides. NCBI's taxonomy places the organism in Eukaryota, Metazoa, Chordata, Actinopteri, Semionotiformes, Lepisosteidae. The record is from Ensembl.
GUCCAAAGUGGUUGAGUUCAGUGCUGGGCUUUUUCCCUGGCUCUGGUAAUUGAGCUUUGGUACAUGGAAUGGCAUGGAGGAGGAUAUGAGUGGAAUGGUUAAAUUGUUUUUCCAUUUCAUUGAAUCCUUGCCUACAUUC